CAGCAUUCUGCUUACACCUUUGGCCACAUAUUUCACAAUCCAACAUCAAUUGGUACCAACAGCAGCCCUUCUCUCCAUCAUCCAGAAGGGUCUGAGAUCAGUGUUGGAGAUGAUGGUUCGGAACAACCCAUGGAAAGCUUAUCACUCAUUGAUGCUGUGAUGCCUGAUGUUGUUGCAAGUCGUCAACAGCAAACACAGAACAAUCAGAAACCACAAGUGGUAAAGACAGAACCACCAAAUUCCAAUGGAGAUGAACCCAUGCAUUCCUAUCGCUGGGACGAGGAAACAGGAGUAGAGAUACCUGCCAGCAAAUCAACUGUACUUUGUGGACAUUUUCUCUCAGUCGUGAAAACGCCAUGGUUCUCCAAAAGUUCGAGCUUCCUCCCAAGACCACCCAUGUGGAAAUUUCAGCCGUUGGAAGUGGGUUCUCCAUUAUCCAAGUGUCAACUUCUUACAAUUUGAAUGUCACUGGAGAGUGGCCGCUAUUCACGCUGGAUCCUCAACUCUUUAAGAACGCCAAUCAGAACCGCAUGCAGUUGACCAUCUGCUCCAGUUUCGUCGGUGAGGAGAGCAACAGGGCCGUUACAUAAAUCAGUUUGCCGUCGGGUUACGUCAUGGACGAGGAUUCCCUACCGAGUCUCAGAGCCACCAAAGAUGUCAAGAAAGUUAAAACGAAAGAAGGUGGCACUGGAAUUUCGUUGUAUUUCGACAAGAUGACGAGGAAUACGGUUUGCCCAACUGUUCAAGCGUAUCGCGUUUUCAAAGUGGCCGAGCAACGUAAAGUACCCGUCGUCAUGUACGAUUAUUACGACAGCUCUCGACGUGCUCGAGUGUUUUACGAACCAGUUCCAGCCAAUGUGUGUGACAUUUGCCAGUCAACCGACUGCAAAAUUCAAUGCUUUUCUUAUCCGGGUUGGAGUGGAGACGAAGAAGGAACCAAAGGAUGGGGAACGCUUGGCGGUCGUAACAAUAGCCGCCCCACCAGUGGCCAACAGUCAUUGCUCCCGACGUUACUCUGUUUUGUUUUGUCAGGUCUCACAAGUGCUUUACUCUUAAUUUAACAACAACAUAACAAAAAUUAUUAUCUAACUUGUCUCUCAUUUAUCC
RNA transcript from Daphnia pulicaria, 1107 nucleotides. RefSeq lists it as uncharacterized. Lineage: Eukaryota; Metazoa; Arthropoda; Branchiopoda; Diplostraca; Daphniidae. The record is from RefSeq and is a predicted model, not a curated record. The transcript is spliced from 7 exons.